Molecule: unclassified non-coding RNA, 375 nt
Filed under: uncultured Gammaproteobacteria bacterium
Lineage: Bacteria; Pseudomonadati; Pseudomonadota; Gammaproteobacteria
Description: contains 16S-23S intergenic spacer region
Source: RNAcentral
UCCGGUUCAUCACCGGCAGUCUCCUUAGAGUCCCCAACUUAAUGCUGGCAACUAAGGACAAGGGUUGCGCUCGUUACGGGACUUAACCCAACAUCUCACAACACGAGCUGACGACAGCCAUGCAGCACCUGUCUCUGCGCUCCUUUCGGCACACCAGCCUCUCAGCCGGCUUCGCAGGAUGUCAAGAGUAGGUAAGGUUCUUCGCGUUGCAUCGAAUUAAACCACAUGCUCCACCGCUUGUGCGGGCCCCCGUCAAUUCCUUUGAGUUUCAACCUUGCGGCCGUACUUCCCAGGCGGAAGACUUAUCGCGUUAGCUUCGAUACUGAAGGGUUCCCCCUACAACAUCUAGUCCUCAUCGUUUACAGCGUGGACUAC